GGGGGGGAGAGAGAAUAAAGGUUGGGGGGAGAGAGAGAAUAAAGGUUGGGAGGGAGAGAGAAUAAAGGUGGGGAGGGAGAGAGAAUAAAGGUGGGGAGGGAGAGAAUAAAGGUGGGGAGGGAGAGAGAAUAAAGGUGGGGGAGGGGAUGAGUGUUGGCCUGCCUGCCUGCUUGUAAGAGCGAGGGGGGGGAGAGAAGGGGUGUGUGGGCCUGCCUGCUUCAGCUGACCGGUGCUCUCAUGUCUCUCCUCUCAGCCCCAGAGCUCCAGAUAACUAGUGGAAGAAUGUUAAUGUCUCUGCUAUGUGGUGAACUGAACUCUACAGUGCCA
Long non-coding RNA from Oncorhynchus tshawytscha (Chinook salmon), 327 nucleotides. The record is from Ensembl. Lineage: Eukaryota; Metazoa; Chordata; Actinopteri; Salmoniformes; Salmonidae.